AACGGGAGGGAUAUACUACGCAGGCUUGAAAGUAAGUUUGAUAUUUAUGCACAUUGUUUCGAUGUUCCAUAGCAGUACCUCGUCUUGUAGAUCAUAAGUAAUUGCAACACGCUUCAGCACACAACUCGCCUCAAUUUGAGGCAAAUUACUAAAUUUAUAGGAAAAAAUAUGUCUACUACUACUGGUACAGUUAAAUGGUUCAACGAGUCUAAAGGUUUCGGUUUCAUUCAACAAGAGAAUGGCCCUGACGUUUUCGCUCAUUUCCGUGCUAUUACUGGAACUGGCUUCAAAACUUUGACUGAAGGUCAAAAAGUUGAGUUCACUGUAACUCAAGGCCAAAAAGGUCCUCAAGCAGAGAAUAUCGUAGUUCUUUAAUUUUUAGAUAAAUUAAAGUAUUACCAAAAAAGCAAACUUCGGUUUGCUUUUUUUAU
Molecule: small RNA, 431 nt
Filed under: Paraglaciecola hydrolytica
Lineage: Bacteria; Pseudomonadati; Pseudomonadota; Gammaproteobacteria; Alteromonadales; Alteromonadaceae
Description: Paraglaciecola sp. S66 cspA thermoregulator
Rfam family: cspA thermoregulator
Source: Rfam by way of RNAcentral